Molecule: ribosomal RNA, 658 nt
Filed under: Trichoderma citrinoviride
Lineage: Eukaryota; Fungi; Ascomycota; Sordariomycetes; Hypocreales; Hypocreaceae
Description: eukaryotic LSU rRNA
Rfam family: 5.8S ribosomal RNA (bases 276-429)
Source: RNAcentral
GGAAGUAAAAGUCGUAAACAAGGUCUCCGUUGGUGAACCAGCGGAGGGAUCAUUACCGAGUUUACAACUCCCAAACCCAAUGUGAACGUUACCAAUCUGUUGCCUCGGCGGGAUUCUCUGCCCCGGGCGCGUCGCAGCCCCGGAUCCCAUGGCGCCCGCCGGAGGACCAACUCAAACUCUUUUUUCUCUCCGUCGCGGCCUACGUCGCGGCUCUGUUUUAUUUUUGCUCUGAGCCUUUCUCGGCGACCCUAGCGGGCGUCUCGAAAAUGAAUCAAAACUUUCAACAACGGAUCUCUUGGUUCUGGCAUCGAUGAAGAACGCAGCGAAAUGCGAUAAGUAAUGUGAAUUGCAGAAUUCAGUGAAUCAUCGAAUCUUUGAACGCACAUUGCGCCCGCCAGUAUUCUGGCGGGCAUGCCUGUCCGAGCGUCAUUUCAACCCUCGAACCCCUCCGGGGGGUCGGCGUUGGGGAUCGGCCCCUCACCGGGCCGCCCCCGAAAUACAGUGGCGGUCUCGCCGCAGCCUCUCCUGCGCAGUAGUUUGCACACUCGCACCGGGAGCGCGGCGCGGCCACAGCCGUAAAACACCCCAAACUCUGAAAUGUUGACCUCGGAUCAGGUAGGAAUACCCGCUGAACUUAAGCAUAUCAAUAAGCGGAGGA